Molecule: unclassified non-coding RNA, 3472 nt
Filed under: Hevea brasiliensis (rubber tree)
Lineage: Eukaryota; Viridiplantae; Streptophyta; Magnoliopsida; Malpighiales; Euphorbiaceae
Source: RNAcentral
CACAAAAAAGAAAUUAUCAGACGCAAAUUCAAGAAAAAUAAGACAAACCCUUUUCUUCCUCUCUCUGUGAAAGUUCCAAAAUCACAGGAUUUAAUGAAUUUGUGGCCGCUUGUGUUCCUCUCCUUUUUGGUCACCCACAAAUAAUAUUCAUACAUAAGCCAUUUAAAAAAAAAAAAAAAAUCCCGGAGCUCAAAAGUCUAGCCUUCGAAGCUUUUGAGGAUUUAUCGGAGAAAGCAACAAAUGCAUUUGAGCUUGACGAAGCUUCUCUCUUCUUCUUGAUUUCUUCAGUCUUAUUACUAUGCUUAUGCUGGACUCGAUCAGUUUUUCACAUGUUCCCAAGGGACAUGAUAUCAUCAAGCAAACAAGCCCAAUUAGGGGAAGGGCAUGCUCAAAUGAUAUAUCACAUCUUUAUGUACAUAGUUUUAGAACUUCACAUUCUUCAAAGCAGCAAAUGAAUUUGCCUUCACAUGGCUUAAGUUAUAGGACAAGUAGCUUCUUUCUUUCAGGAAAUGUCUCUGAAGACAGAAUUUUGUUGACAUCUUUAGUGUCUGGUUGGAGAGGAUUCUAUCUUCCCAAACACAAAAUAGGCCAUUUGGAAAGAUCUCGAAUUUAUGCAUCAGUAGAUGUUGCUACUGCUGUAGAUGUCAUCAAUGAUUUAGGAUUGGAUACUUUGACAUUCUUAGCAGUGACUGUGGUGGUUGUUCCUGUGUUCAAGAUCAUUAGAGCUAGCCCUGUACUUGGUUUCUUCUUUGCUGGGAUUGUGCUCAAUCAAUUUGGCUUCAUUAGAAAUCUCACAGAUGUGAAAGUUCUAUCUGAAUGGGGAAUCCUUUUUUUUGCUGUUCGAGAUGGGCUUGGAGCUUUCACUUGCACGUCUAAAAGCUCUAGCAAAAUUUGCCUUUGGCAUGGGAUUAACUCAGGUUGUAUUAUCCACUCUUGCUUUCACAGCAUUUGAACUUCCACCUAACGGAGCUAUUGGAACGAGAAUUUUGGAGUUCCUUUUCCACUCCAGGUCUGAUUUGGUCAACAUCAGAAGCAUUGAUGAGGCCAUUGUUAUUGGUGCUGCUCUUUCUCUGUCUUCUUCAGCUUUUGUUCUGCAGCUUCUUGCAGAGAAAGGUGAGCUUCCAACAAGACUUGGCUCAGCAACUCUUGGGAUUCUUCUUCUGCAGGACAUAGCAGUUGUUCCUCUCUUAGUCAUACUUCCUGUGUUAGAGAGCCAGAAUCUGGUUGAGGAAAGUAUCUGGCCAAUGCUUGCUAAAGAAAGUUUAAAGGCUUUAGGUGGAUUGGGAUUGCUUUCUCUUGGGGGAAAAUAUAUUCUAAGGCGAGUUUUUGAGGUUGUGGCAGAAGCAAGGAGCUCAGAAGCCUUUGUUGCUCUUUGUCUGUUAACAGUUACUGGGACUUCCCUUAUCACACAAAAGUUGGGCUUUAGUGAUACGCUUGGAGCAUUUUUAGCUGGGGCAUUGUUGGCAGAAACAAAUUUUCGGACACAGAUAGAAGCUGAUAUAAGGCCAUUUAGGGGGUUACUUCUUGGUUUAUUUUUUGUGACUACAGGGACUUCUAUUGACAUGCAGCUCCUGUUCCGAGAGUGGCCAAAUGUAAUUUCACUGUUGGCAGGUUUAAUCAUCAUCAAGACACUGAUAAUAAGUGCAAUAGGUCCCCGUGUUGGGCUUACUAUGCAAGAAAGUGUAAGAAUAGGAUUCCUACUAUCACAAGGAGGCGAGUUUGCAUUUGUAGUUUUCUCUCUGGCAAACAGGCUUGGUGUGCUGCCGCUUGAGCUUAACAAGCUGCUUAUAAUUGUAGUUGUUUUGUCAAUGGCAUUAACUCCAUUGCUUAAUGAAGCUGGAAGAAGAGCUGCCGAUUUUAUUGAUGAAAAAUCUGAGACAGAUAAAGCUACUGAGAUGGUGAACUUCGAUGCUAGUGAACCUGUUGUGAUCCUUGGAUUUGAACAAAUGGGUCAGGUCUUGGCCAAUUUCUUGUCUGUUCAGUUAGCUGCUGGAGUGGAUGGAGAAGUUGUAGGAUGGCCUUAUGUGGCUUUUGAUUUGAACCCUUCUGUAGUGAAGGCUUCUCGGAAACUUGGUUUUCCAAUUCUGUAUGGGGAUGGAUCACGUCCAGCUGUAUUGCAAACUGCUGGUAUCUCUUCUCCGAAGGCUUUCAUGAUCAUGUAUACAGGAAGGAAGAGGACAAUUGAUGCUGUUCAAAGGCUCCGACUUGCUUUUCCUGCAGUAACUCUCUCUCUCUUUCUAGUCUGUGCAUUUGCCCUUGUGUGUGACAAGUGCAAUAUGGUAUCACUUCCAUAAAUAUUCUGCAAGUAGAAUGCAUUUGUGAGCUAGUAGGAGGUAUAUUAGCCUUCCUCUCUACCAUUGUUAGAGGUUGCAAAUCUAUCAGAAGAAACAUAAGAAGCUUUAAUUUUGUUAUUUGAUUAGGACUUCUUUUCCCACGCCAGAAAUCUCAGGUCUUGGCCAUUCUGAUUGUCAUCUAAGAUGGGGCUAGGAUGCUACUUUUCUUAUUUAUUUAUUUUCCUUCCCUUUUCUAAUGUCUUGCUUCUGGUUGUAGUGCUAUUUUUUUGAGUAAUAUUCUACUUGGCAGGUCCCAAUUUAUGCCAGAGCUCAAGAUCUCAUGCAUCUUUUAGAUCUGAAGAAAGCAGGAGCAACUGAUGCUAUUCUAGAAAACGCAGAGACAAGUUUACAGCUAGGCUCUAAGCUUUUGAAGAGUCUUGGUGUCAUGUCUGAUGAUGUAGACUUUUUAAGUCAGCUUGUUCGAGACUCCAUGGAGUCGCAAGCUCAAGAAGCACUGAACAAAACUGAUGAUCGAGAAUUUGAUGUUAUGAAACCAUUGCAGGUAAGAGCGGCUGAUUCACUUGGGGCCCAGGCAUCCAUUCCGGCAACCUCACCUGAAGACAAACUAUUAGGAAGCAAGCAGACAGAUGGAAUUCAUGUCUUGCAGUCGCAGGGGAAAGCUAAUGAGCUCCAGCAAUCAGAGGAUCUGCAGGGCAAGGGUGUUUUGUACUGUGAACUAGGUACUGAGAAUGGCAUUAUGGUUAAUACUGCGGAUGAGGAAAAUAUGAUAACUGCUGAAUAACUGUGAGAAUGCAUAGACUUCAGUCUCCAUUCAUCUUCCUAAGAAGAUUUGCUCCUGCAGCUUCACUUAAGUUCAGCUAGUGCUUUAGAAAGUGACCAAUUUUGUUGCUGGGACUAACAUUAGGGAAAGGAUUAAGCUAAAUCUUUGAGAAAAGUUAGCUGGAACUCUAAUGCUCUAUACAAGUUUCCCAUUGUUUUGAAACUACCCCAUCCCCAUGCAUAUUGUUGAUAUUGAUAAAUUGAUUAGCAAUGAAAGAGGUGCCUUAUUUGAAAAGAAAGGAACUCUUGGUUUCUUGUAUAAGUUUGUCCUGAAAUUUUUGUUUAUUCUUAGGGCAAUAUACCACAUACUAGUUAAAACCUUCAAAUGCUUGAGAUAAUAUGGGAAAUUAUUGAAUGCA